UGGAGCUCUGUCACGCAGAGAAUGCUGGGAGUUGUAGUUGUGAUGGCAUUUCCCGCCAUACAGUGCAGGUCACGUGUCAGCAGACUCGGCCUUCUCUGAUUGGUUACUGAGAUGUAGCUGUGAGGAUCCUGUACAGUCGGUUUCGGGGUCCCUUUACCCAGGAUCCCCCUCGGUGAGCUCAGACCCCAUCACAGCUGGAACCGCCGAGCUGAGCGCA
Pelobates cultripes (western spadefoot toad) is the source of this 217-nucleotide non-coding RNA. NCBI's taxonomy places the organism in Eukaryota, Metazoa, Chordata, Amphibia, Anura, Pelobatidae. The record is from the annotation of a GenBank genome assembly.